AGUGAACGCUGGCGGUAGGCCUAACACAUGCAAGUCGAACGGCAGCACAGUAAGAGCUUGCUCUUACGGGUGGCGAGUGGCGGACGGGUGAGGAAUACAUCGGAAUCUACUUUUUCGUGGGGGAUAACGUAGGGAAACUUACGCUAAUACCGCAUCCGACCUACGGGUGAAAGCAGGGGAUCUUCGGACCUUGCGCGAUUGAAUGAGCCGAUGUCGGAUUAGCUAGUUGGCGGGGUAAAGGCCCACCAAGGCGACGAUCCGUAGCUGGUCUGAGAGGAUGAUCAGCCACACUGGAACUGAGACACGGUCCAGACUCCUACGGGAGGCAGCAGUGGGGAAUAUUGGACAAUGGGCGCAAGCCUGAUCCAGCCAUACCGCGUGGGUGAAGAAGGCCUUCGGGUUGUAAAGCCCUUUUGUUGGGAAAGAAAAGCAGAAGGUUAAUACCCCGCUGUUCUGACGGUACCCAAAGAAUAAGCACCGGCUAACUUCGUG
RNAcentral lists this ribosomal RNA (492 nucleotides) under uncultured bacterium. RNAcentral's name for it is "partial 16S ribosomal RNA". It matches the Rfam family "Bacterial small subunit ribosomal RNA", at positions 29 to 507 of the family's 1533-position model. The record is from RNAcentral.